GAGAUUGGGACUUUGGGUAGAAUUAGGCGAGAGACUUAUUCUUGUAACCCAUUGAUAUCUCUUUUGUAAAGUU
RNAcentral lists this microRNA precursor (73 nucleotides) under Medicago truncatula (barrel medic). RNAcentral's name for it is "miR5285a stem-loop (mtr-MIR5285a, mtr-MIR5285b)". The stretch from base 1 to 63 matches the Rfam family "MIR5285 microRNA precursor family". Lineage: Eukaryota; Viridiplantae; Streptophyta; Magnoliopsida; Fabales; Fabaceae. The record is from miRBase by way of RNAcentral.